Molecule: small nuclear RNA, 141 nt
Filed under: Trypanosoma vivax Y486
Lineage: Eukaryota; Euglenozoa; Kinetoplastea; Trypanosomatida; Trypanosomatidae
Rfam family: ACEA small nucleolar RNA U3
About the family: Small nucleolar RNAs (snoRNAs) are involved in the processing and modification of rRNA in the nucleolus. There are two main classes of snoRNAs: the box C/D class, and the box H/ACA class. U3 snoRNA is a member of the box C/D class.
Source: RNAcentral
AAGAUCGUACUCUGAACAGAAUCGUUUUAUGAGUACAACCUCCUAAUCGAGAAGAAACCAUGACCCAAAUCCUGAUGAUGAUGGUUGCCGUCCCCGCCCGGAGAGCGUUUCGAUGAACGGCAGGGGACGGUUCCAGAAGGA